This 435-nucleotide ribosomal RNA is filed under the name uncultured bacterium. Its description in RNAcentral is "partial 16S ribosomal RNA". It matches the Rfam family "Bacterial small subunit ribosomal RNA", at positions 29 to 507 of the family's 1533-position model. The record is from RNAcentral.
AACGAACGCUGGCGGCAUGCCUAACACAUGCAAGUCGAACGAUUGCCUUCGGGUGAUAGUGGCGCACGGGUGCGUAACGCGUGGGAAUCUGCCCUUAGGUUCGGAAUAACAGCUGGAAACGGCUGCUAAUACCGGAUGAUAUCGCGAGAUCAAAGAUUUAUCGCCUGAGGAUGAGCCCGCGUUGGAUUAGGUAGUUGGUGGGGUAAAGGCCUACCAAGCCGACGAUCCAUAGCUGGUCUGAGAGGAUGAUCAGCCACACUGGGACUGAGACACGGCCCAGACUCCUACGGGAGGCAGCAGUGGGGAAUAUUGGACAAUGGGCGCAAGCCUGAUCCAGCAAUGCCGCGUGAGUGAUGAAGGCCCUAGGGUUGUAAAGCUCUUUUACCCGGGAAGAUAAUGACUGUACCGGGAGAAUAAGCCACGGCUAACUCCGUG